AUUUAUUUAAUUAAUCUUUAUCGUCUGAUCUUUAUAGGAUCAGAGGCCAGGGCAGUCUCUGCAUGCAUGGAACGAUUUAUCUCCCUGUGUAUGUGAAAGAGAGAGAUUUAUCUCCCUGUGUAUGUGAAAGAGAGAGCGAUUUAUCUCCCUGUGUAUGUGUGAGAGAGAGAGAGAUGUAUCUCCCUGUGUAUGUGAGAGAGAGAGAGAUGCAUCUCCCUGUGUAUGUGAGAGAGAGAUAGAUGUAUCUCCCUGUGUAUGUGAGAGAGAGAGAGUCCUUGUAUAGGUUUUGUGCCUGUGGUCAGUUGAAUAUGUGCAUUGUUAACAAGUCAGCCUAACAAUACGAUGACUAGGUUUCCAUAGAACCAAUGAUGGAGAAGAUGGGGAGAUUACAGGACUGUGGUCUGACACGGCCUGCAUCGUCUCAAAUGGCAUCCCAUUCCCUAUGUAGUGCACUACUUUUGACCAAGAGCCCCAGAAAUAGUGCACUAUAAAGGGAAUAGGGUACCAUUUGGGACGCCACAUGGAUGCUUCAAGCUGUCCCAGAUCAGUUACUAUUAUACCUCGCGUGUCAUUACCAAACACUGUAAUCACAUGGCUCUCCCUUUUCAAUGUCUGAGAUGUACUGUAAUUCAGUGGUAGGCUAUGGUGCGUUCAACAAGGCAGAGAGGGAAAGAGUGAGAGAGAAAGAGAGAGGGAAAGAGAGUGGGAGGUAAAGAGAGAGGGAAAGAGAGUGAGAGGUAAAGAGAGUGGGAG
Molecule: long non-coding RNA, 753 nt
Organism: Oncorhynchus tshawytscha (Chinook salmon)
Lineage: Eukaryota; Metazoa; Chordata; Actinopteri; Salmoniformes; Salmonidae
Source: Ensembl